CCAGACUCCUACGGGAGGCAGCAGUGGGGAAUAUUGCACAAUGGGGGAAACCCUGAUGCAGCGACGCCGCGUGAGUGAAGAAGUAUUUCGGUAUGUAAAGCUCUAUCAGCAGGGAAGAAAAUGACGGUACCUGACUAAGAAGCCCCGGCUAACUACGUGCCAGCAGCCGCGGUAAUACGUAGGGGGCAAGCGUUAUCCGGAUUUACUGGGUGUAAAGGGAGCGUGGACGGCGGAACAAGUCAGAAGUGAAAACCCGGGGCUCAACCCUGGGAGUGCUUUUGAAACUGUUUGGCUGGAGUGCAGGAGAGGUAAGCGGAAUUCCUAGUGUAGCGGUGAAAUGCGUAGAUAUUAGGAGGAACACCAGUGGCGAAGGCGGCUUACUGGACUGUAACUGACGUUGAGGCUCGAAAGCGUGGGGAGCAAACAGGAUUAGAUACCCUUGUAU
This 445-nucleotide ribosomal RNA is filed under the name uncultured bacterium. RNAcentral describes it as "bacterial SSU rRNA". It matches the Rfam family "Bacterial small subunit ribosomal RNA", at positions 331 to 793 of the family's 1533-position model. The record is from RNAcentral.